This 485-nucleotide ribosomal RNA is filed under the name uncultured bacterium. RNAcentral describes it as "bacterial SSU rRNA". It matches the Rfam family "Bacterial small subunit ribosomal RNA", at positions 29 to 507 of the family's 1533-position model. The record is from RNAcentral.
AGUGAACGCUGGCGGCAGGCCUAACACAUGCAAGUCGAGCGGCAGCACGGGUGCUUGCACCUGGUGGCGAGUGGCGAACGGGUGAGUAAUACAUCGGAACGUACCUUAUCGUGGGGGAUAACGCAGCGAAAGCUGUGCUAAUACCGCAUACGCCCUGAGGGGGAAAGCGGGGGAUCGAAAGACCUCGCGCGAUUAGAGCGGCCGAUGCCUGAUUAGCUUGUUGGUGGGGUAAAAGCCCACCAAGGCGACGAUCAGUAGCUGGUCUGAGAGGACGAUCAGCCACACUGGGACUGAGACACGGCCCAGACUCCUACGGGAGGCAGCAGUGGGAAUUUUGGACAAUGGGGGCAACCCUGAUCCAGCCAUGCCGCGUGAGUGAAGAAGGCCUUCGGGUUGUAAAGCUCUUUCGGCCGGGAAGAAAUCGCACAGGCUAAUACUCUGUGUGGAUGACGGUACCAGCACAAGAAGCACCGGCUAACUACGUG